RNAcentral lists this small nuclear RNA (107 nucleotides) under Procavia capensis (Cape rock hyrax). Lineage: Eukaryota; Metazoa; Chordata; Mammalia; Hyracoidea; Procaviidae. The record is from RNAcentral.
GUGCUCGCUUUGGCAGCACAUACACUAAAAUUGGAACGAUACAGAGAAGAUUAGCAUGGCCCCUGCGCAAGGAUGGCACGCAAAUCCGUGAAGCGUUCCGUAUUUUU